AGCUCCAGUAGCGUAUAUUAAAGUUGUUGCAGUUAAAACGUUCGUAGUUGAAAUUCGGCUUGCGCUGUGACAUCUGGAAGAUUCCGGAUUCACGCACCGCCGAUGGACUUCGGUUCAUAUUACCUUGAAGAAAUUAGAGUGUUCCAAGCAAGCUCUAGCCUGAAUAUCGCAGCAUGGAAUAAUACGUGAACUUCGUUCUCUGAAUUGUUGGUUCGAGAGUGCGAAGUAUGGUUAAUAGGAGCAGCUCCGGGGGCGUACGUAUUCAACUGUCAUAGGUGAAAUUCUUGGAUUAGUUGAAGACGAACAACUGCGAAAGCAUGCGUCAAGGAUGUUUUCA
Molecule: ribosomal RNA, 337 nt
Filed under: uncultured eukaryote
Lineage: Eukaryota
Description: SSU rRNA
Rfam family: Eukaryotic small subunit ribosomal RNA
Source: RNAcentral